CGAUCUAGUGAAAGGGAAGAAGAGUCUUGACACCGUAAAUCUGGAUCCGUUUCACUGAACAAAAUUUAAAAAUCGUGGCUGGGGCAUCUCCUCUGGGGGACCGACUGCUUCAUAGUCACGCAGUGGAGUUGACAGUGUAUUUUACUGAGCAAGCUGGUUAAAAGAGCACAUAAAGAGGAAAUGACUAAUGGCACUGACAACAGAGAAGUUACCUUUUUUAAAAAAAGAACGGGAGAAACAUGGUUUUGUUGUGAUCCAACCUCCCCUGAGAAGAGUCAUCAUGCCAUCCCUUUCACCUCUGCACCAUGUGAAACCUACAUCCAUCGCUAGAUUCAUAAAUUGUAUGCUUAAGGCAGGCAUUGUUCAAUUAAAACAAACAAGUUACCUAACUUAGAAGAGAGUCUAGGUUAUUCAAGGAGUUACAAAACAUGCAUUUGGCCUGUGUUUCACAAAGUGAUGUUCUUUACUUUUCACCUGGGAUAAUUAAAUCCAGUGAGCAGCCAGUCCUUAAUCAAUUUUGGUUUCAGGUUCUCAUAUGCUUGCAAAAAAUUCUCAUGAAUAAACAACAGGUGCAUUGUGAAACAUGAUAUGCUGGCCAACAAGUAUAAUUCAAUAGCAUUCAUUAUUUACCAAAUCAUACCAUUUAAAGAGAAGACAGAUGCCUUACAUAGCAGUAGUGACUGUUACAGUCUUAGAGCAUACUGACAAAGUAAGCUCGAUAUUUUUUCCAGGCUUGAAGAGAUACUACAGUUCAUAAGAAUACACUCUUUAUGAACUUCAGAAUUUUAACAAAUUGUUGUGUUUCCUGAGGACUUCAUAAAUGUCAGUGUGCACUAUUAUCUACACAUGCCAUUUUCUUUUAAAAGAAAAAGGCAGUAUGUAUCAUAGGAACUAGGAACACAUAGGAGGGACUGUUCAAUAUCAGAGUGCUCCAGAAGAGAGCAGAAACCAUGAAUACUCCAAAUAAGAAUGAGGUAAUAUCUUUUAUUGAACCAACUUCUGUCGGUGAGAGAGACAAGCUUUCAAGCCACAUGGAGUUCAACAGAAGUUGGUCCAAUAAAAAUAUAUUACCUCCCCAACCUUGUCUCUAAUAUCCUGGGACUGACAGGGCUACAACUACAGUGCAUACCCCAAAUAAGAAUGACAUUCUCAGAGGAGCUUAAACUGAAAAUGGAUGUCAAUUUCUCUUAAAUCCCUAGCUUCUUACUGCAAGGUUGCUCUAUUCACAGAACAUGUUUAAGUGUUCACUUCAGGAUAUCACUAUAGUUGCAAGGCAUAUGAUUUAAUACAGUAAAGUUGUGAUUGUCCAAACCUCCCUUUUCUAAGGAGCUGCCUGUUAUAUGGCUCCCUAUUCAUAGAAUAUCAGAGUUGGAAGGGACCUCAGGAGGUCAUCUAGUCCAACCCCCUGCUCAAAGCAGGACCAGUCCCCAAUGUUUGCCCCAGAUCCCUAAAUGGCCCCCUCAAGGAUUGAGCUCACAACCCUGGGUUUAGCAGGCCAAUGCUCAAGCCACUGAGCUAUCCCUCCCCCCUAUUAUGCUACUGGUUCUCCCAGUACCACUCUGGUAAUCAAGUUUUAUUGGGUUUAUUAUGUAAAUCAUCCAACACUGGCUUUUAAUUUUUAAUCAACUCACUAUCGUUAAACAUUUGUAAGUUUAUCAGCUGCGACCUCUAGAGGGUGCCCUGAGCUUCAAGUUUGGAAGCUCUAUUUAGGCUCACAGAAAGUCAGUGAUGUUCCUUUCUUCAAUCUGAAUUCAGAAUCCCACAAGGAGUGGGAGAGAUGCUAUUUUGGAGUUCCCCAAAUUGUGAGACACCUUGUUACCCCUGUCUCAGCAAAAGGGGGGCUUGCUUGCACUUAGCUCCCUGAUAUUAGCAGUCUAUCAGCCAUCCAAACAAUCUCCACAGAACUCCGCCAGCCCUUACUUUGCCUUGCAGGUUAACAAUAAGUGCACCCCAUUCCUUGAACCCCUCUGAAAGUGUCCCGCUAUAGUAUCCAGCCCAUCACACGCACACACACACACGGAAAUUACCAGGUAAACUGUCCCCAGAGAGACUGUGUACAGUACAUGUCUGGCACAACUCAGCAUCAGGUCUUUUAUAACAUUACAGCACUGAAAUAUAUUUAUAGUGGAAUACUCAUAAGUUUAUUAUCAAAGGUUUAAGUUUUAAGAGACAGCGAGUAAAGAUAAUAAGUGGAAACAGAAAUGGUUACAAAUAUAAAACAAAACUUAUAGCAAUCCUAGCCCUACACUUAACAAGGAUUAUGUUUCCUAAUUAAUAAAGGAGAUUUUCUGCCAAGCAUUCAGUCCUUGACAAAGCUGUUGAUUUCCAGUCAAAGUUAGGAUCCAAACUUCCAUGAACAGAACACCCCACACCCUUCAAAGGGUGUCCCCUUUGUCUUACUUGUCUCCCAAUUAUAGUUCAGUAAACCUUUGAAA
Long non-coding RNA from Chelonia mydas (Green sea turtle), 2435 nucleotides. RefSeq lists it as uncharacterized. The transcript is spliced from 2 exons. NCBI's taxonomy places the organism in Eukaryota, Metazoa, Chordata, Testudines, Cheloniidae. The record is from RefSeq and is a predicted model, not a curated record.